UACGUAGGGUGCAAGCGUUUGUUCGGAAUCAUUGGGCGUAAAGCGCGUGUAGGUGGUUAUUUAAGUCGAGUGUGAAAUCCCUGGGCUCAACCGAGGAAGUGCAUUCGAAACUGAAUAGCUAGAAGAUGGUAGAGGAAGGUGGAAUUCCUAGUGUAGAGGUGAAAUUCGUAGAUAUUAGGAGGAAUACCGGUGGCGAAGGCGGCCUUCUGGGCCAUUCUUGACACUGAGACGCGAAAGCGUGGGGAGCAAACAGG
RNAcentral lists this ribosomal RNA (254 nucleotides) under uncultured bacterium. RNAcentral describes it as "partial 16S ribosomal RNA". It matches the Rfam family "Bacterial small subunit ribosomal RNA", at positions 524 to 776 of the family's 1533-position model. The record is from RNAcentral.